GAUGAACGCUGGCGGCGUGCCUAAUACAUGCAAGUCGAGCGAACGGACGAGAAGCUUGCUUCUCUGAUGUUAGCGGCGGACGGGUGAGUAACACGUGGAUAACCUACCUAUAAGACUGGGAUAACUUCGGGAAACCGUAGCUAAUACCGGAUAAUAUUUUGAACCGCAUGGUUCAAAAGUGAAAGACGGUCUUUCUGUCACUUAUAGAUGGAUCCGCGCUGCAUUAGCUAGUUGGUAAGGUAACGGCUUACCAAGGCAACGAUGCAUAGCCGACCUGAGAGGGUGAUCGGCCACACUGGAACUGAGACACGGUCCAGACUCCUACGGGAGGCAGCAGUAGGGAAUCUUACGCGAAGGGCGAAAGCCUGACGGAGCAAAGCCGCGUGAGUGAUGAAGGACUUAGGAUCGUAAAACUCUGUUAUUAGGGAAGAACAUAUGUGUAAGUACCUGUGCACAUCUUGACGGUACCUAAUCAGAAAGCCACGGCUAACUACGUG
Molecule: ribosomal RNA, 497 nt
Filed under: uncultured bacterium
Lineage: Bacteria
Description: partial 16S ribosomal RNA
Rfam family: Bacterial small subunit ribosomal RNA
Source: RNAcentral